This 407-nucleotide ribosomal RNA is filed under the name uncultured bacterium. RNAcentral describes it as "partial 16S ribosomal RNA". It matches the Rfam family "Bacterial small subunit ribosomal RNA", at positions 30 to 526 of the family's 1533-position model. The record is from RNAcentral.
AUUGAACGCUGGCGGCAGGCCUAACACAUGCAAGUCGAGCGGAGCGGCGGACGGGUAAGUAAUGCCUAGGUAUCUGCCUGGUAGUGAGGGAUAACGUCCGGAAACGUGCGCCAAUACAGCAGACUAUAAGAUCAGUCUAGGUCGGAUUAGCUAGUUGGGGGGGUAAAGGCUUACCAAGGCGACGAUCCGUAACUGGUCUGAGAGGAUGAUCAGUCACACUGGAACUGAGACACGGUCCAGACUCCUACGGGAGGCAGCAGUGGGGAAUAUUGGACAAUGGGCGAAAGCCUGAUCCAGCCAUGCCGCGUGUGUGAAGAAGGUCUUCGGAUUGUAAAUCACUUUAAGUUGGGAGGCGUUACCAACAGAAUAAGCACCGGCUAACUUCGUGCCAGCAGCCGCGGUAAUAC